Molecule: non-coding RNA, 118 nt
Filed under: Thalassiothrix antarctica
Lineage: Eukaryota; Bacillariophyta; Fragilariophyceae; Thalassionematales; Thalassionemataceae
Source: RNAcentral
UCCCGCGCGUAAUGAAAAAGAUGUUAAUGGAAUGAUGAAGCAAAAAGAGUAAACCUUUAUUUCUAUCUUUCUCUCUUUUUUUUAAAAUCUCUUAUUAUUGUUUGUUUAUAUUAUAUUG